Molecule: ribosomal RNA, 254 nt
Filed under: uncultured bacterium
Lineage: Bacteria
Description: partial 16S ribosomal RNA
Rfam family: Bacterial small subunit ribosomal RNA
Source: RNAcentral
UACGUAGGGUGCAAGCGUUAAUCGGAAUUACUGGGCGUAAAGCGUGCGCAGGCGGUUUUGUAAGACAGGCGUGAAAUCCCCGAGCUUAACUUGGGAAUGGCGCUUGUGACUGCAAGGCUAGAGUAUGUCAGAGGGGGGGUAGAAUUCCACGUGUAGCAGUGAAAUGCGUAGAGAUGUGGAGGAAUACCGAUGGCGAAGGCAGCCCCCUGGGACGUCACUGACGCUCAUGCACGAAAGCGUGGGGAGCAAACAGG